Molecule: ribosomal RNA, 460 nt
Filed under: uncultured bacterium
Lineage: Bacteria
Description: partial 16S ribosomal RNA
Rfam family: Bacterial small subunit ribosomal RNA
Source: RNAcentral
CCUACGGGUGGCAGCAGUGAGGAAUAUUGGUCAAUGGCCGCGAGGCUGAACCAGCCAAGUAGCGUGAAGGAUGACGGUCCUAUGGGUUGUAAACCUCUUUUGUCAGGGAACAAAGGGCGCCACGUGUGGCGUUUUGCGAGUACCUGAAGAAAAAGCAUCGGCUAACUCCGUGCCAGCAGCCGCGGUAAUACGGAGGAUGCGAGCGUUAUCCGGAUUUAUUGGGUUUAAAGGGAGCGUAGGCAGCAUGUCAAGCGUGCUGUGAAAUGUCCGGGCUCAACCCGGGCAUUGCAGCGGGAACUGGCGGGCUUGAGUACGCGGAAGGCAGGCGGAAUUCGUGGUGUAGCGGUGAAAUGCUUAGAUAUGACGAAGAACCCCGAUUGCGAAGGCAGCUUGCUGAAGCGGAACUGACGUUGAUGCUCGAAAGCGUGGGUAUCGAACAGGAUUAGAUACCCUGGUAGUC